RNAcentral lists this ribosomal RNA (288 nucleotides) under uncultured organism. RNAcentral describes it as "partial 16S ribosomal RNA". It matches the Rfam family "Bacterial small subunit ribosomal RNA", at positions 139 to 442 of the family's 1533-position model. The record is from RNAcentral.
GGGAACAACAGCUGGAAACGGCUGCUAAUACCCCAUAGGCUGAGGAGCAAAAGGAGGAAUCCGCCCAAGGAGGGGCUCGCGUCUGAUUAGUUAGUUGGUGAGGCAAUGGCUUACCAAGGCGACGAUCAGUAGCUGGUCCGAGAGGAUGAUCAGCCACACUGGGACUGAGACACGGCCCAGACUCCUACGGGAGGCAGCAGUGGGGAAUUUUCCGCAAUGGGCGAAAGCCUGACGGAGCAAUGCCGCGUGAAGGCAGAAGGCCCACGGGUCAUGAACUUCUUUUCUCGG